RNAcentral lists this ribosomal RNA (253 nucleotides) under uncultured bacterium. RNAcentral describes it as "partial 16S ribosomal RNA". It matches the Rfam family "Bacterial small subunit ribosomal RNA", at positions 524 to 776 of the family's 1533-position model. The record is from RNAcentral.
CACGUAGGGCGCAAGCGUUGUCCGGAAUUAUUGGGCGUAAAGAGCUCGUAGGCGGUCUGUUGCGUCCGCUGUGAAAACUCGGGGCUUAACCCCGAGCCUGCAGUGGAUACGGGCAGACUAGAGGUAGGUAGGGGAGAAUGGAAUUCCCGGUGUAGCGGUGAAAUGCGCAGAUAUCGGGAGGAACACCGGUGGCGAAGGCGGUUCUCUGGGCCUUACCUGACGCUGAGGAACGAAAGCUAGGGGAGCAAACAGG